Molecule: ribosomal RNA, 521 nt
Filed under: uncultured Staphylococcus sp.
Lineage: Bacteria; Bacillati; Bacillota; Bacilli; Caryophanales; Staphylococcaceae
Description: bacterial SSU rRNA
Rfam family: Bacterial small subunit ribosomal RNA
Source: RNAcentral
UACAUGCAAGUCGAGCGAACGGACGAGAAGCUUGCUUCUCUGAUGUUAGCGGCGGACGAGUGAGUAACACGUGGAUAACCUACCUAUAAGACUGGGAUAACUUCGGGAAACCGGAGCUAAUACCGGAUAAUAUUUUGAACCGCAUGGUUCAAAAGUGAAAGACGGUCUUGCUGUCACUUAUAGAUGGAUCCGCGCUGCAUUAGCUAGUUGGUAAGGUAACGGCUUACCAAGGCAACGAUGCAUAGCCGACCUGAGAGGGUGAUCGGCCACACUGGAACUGAGACACGGUCCAGACUCCUACGGGAGGCAGCAGUAGGGAAUCUUCCGCAAUGGGCGAAAGCCUGACGGAGCAACGCCGCGUGAGUGAUGAAGGUCUUCGGAUCGUAAAACUCUGUUAUUAGGGAAGAACAUAUGUGUAAGUAACUGUGCACAUCUUGACGGUACCUAAUCAGAAAGCCACGGCUAACUACGUGCCAGCAGCCGCGGUAAUACGUAGGUGGCAAGCGUUAUCCGGAAUUAUU